AAGGGCCCCGGGAAGCUCUUUUUGGGCUAAUUUCCCCAGAAACAGCCACCCCCAUAUCCUACAGGCGGCCGACUGUUAGCACAGGUUCAUCCCAGCCUUCACGUGGGGCCCAGACCGGCUCCUCCUUUCUCCCUUCCCCUUGUUUGGCAAUGCCCACCAUCACAGGGGUGGCAGCUCUGAGAUCGAGUGUUCCCCACCAUCUGGGAGCCAACAGAAGUUCCCUAAGAACAGACUUGAGGCCCAACCCUGACUGAGGAUCUCCAGAGAAACUUCCACAGCCCCACCCCGGCCCCCAGGAUGGUGACAGGCCAGAGCUCCAAUCAACUGGCCACGUGCCCUCCUGUCGUGAAGAAACCCAGAAGGAAGACGGCCUGCGUACGGGCCGAGGCUCAGGGGUGUCCGGCCCCACUGGCCUGAGGCAGACGCCCCGGAGGCAACAACAGUGAAUGAGCAGGGUCCUGGAGGCCGAAACAGAUCUUCGGUUUUUAAGCAUAAGGUGCAGACACAGAAGAGACACGCGAACAGAUACACAGCAUUUCACAGUAUGAACCUUUCACUGGGGUGGAGAAUUAGGGAAAGGAUGUCGAAAACAUCUUCUUGGACAGAGAACUAAGAAAGCAGCCCUGAGCCUCACUGGCAGCGUCCAGCGUGGUGGGAAAGGAAGCGAGGACAUCGCAGAGCAGAGAGGAAAAGGCAGAGCGGGGGCCUCAAGCGAUGGUCCCGUUAAGUCCCCUCAUCGUCACACCAGCUGGGGACCAGGGAGCAGCUUUGCUUCCCCAGAGUCGAGGACAACUCCAGCCCCCCUCUCCCCAACCUAACACAAAACCAGGGGCCUGACCACAAGGAACUGACCACCCUCCGGCCACGGCGCCAAAGGGGCGAGGCAGGCCGCAUCAGGACAGCGGCGACUGGCUUGCGGGUGAGAAACACAAGGUGCCCUGACUCACCAGAGGUGCCGGCACCCUGGGCCCCGCAGAAAAGCUGCUUCGAACAGGAACGGGCUGUGCUCCGCUGGGCCGAGGCACGGAGACUGGAGGGACCCUCAGAGCUGGGAGAGACCAGAACAGGACAGGGUCAGGUAGGUGCCGUCAAGAGCAGAUUGUUAAAUCUCCGAGUGGAUCCUGGGAUCUCUGAGCUAAAACCCAGGGGCCGCACUUCUGCUUCAGGAAAGGCGGCAGGUGUGCUUCCCCAUCUCGCCCACACAGCGCAACUAAAACACCAGGAUGUUGUACAGAAGACAAGCAAGACUCCGGAAGGGGGAGAGGAGGAGGAAGGCUGGCAAGGGACUACGGGGCCCGAGGAGUGGCAUGGGGCUCGGUUCCCUCGGCUGGGUUUUUGCCUCAGUCAUCCCAGGCAUGCAGCUAAAGAAGUCGCAAACCCAGACAUACAGUAGAAGCAGACAAAAAGCCCCCACGAAUGACUGUUCUCUGUAGCCAAGGGACCAGGAAAGUGGCAGCCUGAGGAGACAAGGGGUUUACACAGCGCCACUCCACCACAGCCGGAGGCCACAGAAAACGGCGUCCACCCAGACCCACUGCAAAGGCUGAGUAGGGAGCUGAGGCUUCCAGCCUGUGUAGAUUUAAUAGGCACCCAGCCCCCACUGGGUGGGGUCAGAUAAGAACAAGUAAGAGCUGGGACUUUUUUCCCCACCAGGUGGUAAUGAAUCCUCCUCUCAUUCCAUGGUAUUAGCGCGAGCAACAUGGGGAGCUUGAGUAUCCACACCCACGCGGCGGUAACAAGGCACCCCUUCCUCACCACACAGGGCUGGUGUGAGGAAAGAGCUAAUGAAGAGUCAAGACUUUUCCAUCACCACCAGAAAUGAGGUCACCCCCCACAGUACUGGUGGGGGCCACACAGGAAGCAGGAGCCCCCAACCCCACCAGCAGUAACAAGGAGCUGCCCCACUGGAGUAUCAACAGAAGCCAACUGUGGACUAGACUCCUGCAUCCACCUGGCAACAACGGGACAGCACCCCCUCCUCCCUUCCGAGAGCGGUGUCAACGAACGCCGGCCAAAACAGAGGUUUACGAAGAUCCAGAGUCUCACCAGAUAAUAUGAAAAUGUACACCUUUGCACUGAAAAUGACUCAUUAUCCCAAGAACCAGGAAGAUCUCAAAUGGGAAAAAGACAGUCCGUGGCUGCUGACAUUGGGGUGACAGAUGUUAGAAUUAUCUGACAAAGAGUUUAAAGCAGUCACAAUAAGAAUAAACAAUUAUGAACAUGUUGG
This is a long non-coding RNA of Hyaena hyaena (striped hyena), 2227 nucleotides long. RefSeq lists it as uncharacterized. NCBI's taxonomy places the organism in Eukaryota, Metazoa, Chordata, Mammalia, Carnivora, Hyaenidae. The record is from RefSeq and is a predicted model, not a curated record. The transcript is spliced from 3 exons.